This 460-nucleotide long non-coding RNA is filed under the name Lepisosteus oculatus (spotted gar). Its description in RNAcentral is "lncRNA (ENSLOCG00000023127.1)". Lineage: Eukaryota; Metazoa; Chordata; Actinopteri; Semionotiformes; Lepisosteidae. The record is from RNAcentral.
GCGGCCGAAGAUUUCUCUUUGUGGCUUCCCUCAAGUUGUCAAGACGUCGUACGCAAUGAGAGGCGACAGGGGGCGGGGCCGGGGGGGCCGGUUUGGAGCCCGCGGAGGGCUGGCGCAGGGGUGAGUAGCUGCUGGUGGGGGGGACGUGCUUACUGUACCUGUGCAAGCAGUCGGACACCCCGUCGGUGGCAGACUGAUCCACUCCGGGUUUUACAGUGUUGUUAAUCAGACUCCUGGCAUCCAGCAGUGCGCUCCAGUCUGGGGGCUAACAGUGUAGUUAAUCACACCACAGUGCGCUGCAGUCCGGGGGUUAACAGUGUAGUUAAUCACACCACAGUGUGCUGCAGUCCGGGGGUUAACAGUGUAGUUAAUCACACCACAGUGCGCUGCAGUCUGGGGUUAACAGUGUAGUUAAUCACACCACAGUGCGCUGCAGUCUGGGGUUAACAGUGUAGUUAAU